This 254-nucleotide ribosomal RNA is filed under the name uncultured bacterium. Its description in RNAcentral is "partial 16S ribosomal RNA". It matches the Rfam family "Bacterial small subunit ribosomal RNA", at positions 524 to 776 of the family's 1533-position model. The record is from RNAcentral.
UACGUAGGGGGCAAGCGUUGUCCGGAUUCAUUGGGCGUAAAGAGCUCGUAGGCGGUGUGUCGCGUCGGCCGUGAAAACCUGCAGCUUAACUGUGGGCUUGCGGUCGAUACGGGCAUCACUGGAGUUCGGCAGGGGAGACUGGAAUUCCUGGUGUAGCGGUGGAAUGCGCAGAUAUCAGGAGGAACACCGAUGGCGAAGGCAGGUCACUGGGCCGCAACUGACGCUGAGGAGCGAAAGCAUGGGGAGCGAACAGG